Molecule: ribosomal RNA, 410 nt
Filed under: Verrucomicrobiota bacterium
Lineage: Bacteria; Pseudomonadati; Verrucomicrobiota
Description: Verrucomicrobia bacterium partial 16S ribosomal RNA
Rfam family: Bacterial small subunit ribosomal RNA
Source: RNAcentral
UGGGGAAUCUUGCACAAUGGGCGAAAGCCUGAUGCAGCGACGCCGCGUGCGGGAUGAAGGCCUUCGGGUUGUAAACCGCUUUCAGCAGGGACGAGGCCGCAAGGUGACGGUACCUGCAGAAGAAGCCCCGGCUAACUACGUGCCAGCAGCCGCGGUAAUACGUAUGGGGCGAGCGUUGUCCGGAAUUAUUGGGCGUAAAGGGUACGUAGGCGGUUUUUUAAGUCAGGUGUCAAAGCGUGGAGCUUAACUCCAUUAAGCACUUGAAACUGAAAGACUUGAGUGAAGGAGAGGAAAGUGGAAUUCCUAGUGUAGCGGUGAAAUGCGUAGAUAUUAGGAGGAAUACCGGUGGCGAAGGCGACUUUCUGGACUUUUACUGACGCUCAGGUACGAAAGCGUGGGGAGCAAACAGG